AACAACCUCAUGAAUCUUUAAAAAAAUUGAUGGCCCUCGCCUCUCUCUUUGAUAAACCAACAUAUUCACCUAUACCUCAAUCUCCUCUCUUAUCUCCUAUUAUUCUAUUCUCUGAAAACUUCAAAAGCUAACCACAUCACUUAAAUAACCCUUCUUUCAUUUUAAAAAGGGCAGAAGAAAUAAAAGAAUAGGGUGUGGUAACCUUCCUCUAUAAAUAAAAAAAACUAGAAAACUUUAGCUCAUCUUCUUCUUCCCUUCACCUUGCCUCAAAACCAACAACCUUUACUACACAAACACCACCACGACCUCCAUUACAACUCCCUACUUCACUGUCGUUCCCCCACCGGUGGAACCAUAACCACCAUCCACUUACCGUCUUCAAACAAUGACACCCUCACUCUCACCACCGUGAGCUCAUGCAUCAUCUUCACUCUCCUCUCAACAAACAUACCUCAC
RNAcentral lists this long non-coding RNA (456 nucleotides) under Lathyrus oleraceus (garden pea). RNAcentral describes it as "Pisum sativum (pea) long non-coding RNA (PSAT_LNC008044)". The record is from RNAcentral. Lineage: Eukaryota; Viridiplantae; Streptophyta; Magnoliopsida; Fabales; Fabaceae.